GUUGAACGCUGGCGGCAGGCCUAACACAUGCAAGUCGAACGGUAACAGGAAGCAGCUUGCUGCUUCGCUGACGAGUGGCGGACGGGUGAGUAAUGUCUGGGAAACUGCCCGAUGGAGGGGGAUAACUACUGGAAACGGUAGCUAAUACCGCAUAACGUCGCAAGACCAAAGAGGGGGGACCUUCGGGCCUCUUGCCAUCGGAUGUGCCCAGAUGGGAUUAGCUUGUUGGUGAGG
RNAcentral lists this ribosomal RNA (234 nucleotides) under uncultured bacterium. Its description in RNAcentral is "partial 16S ribosomal RNA". It matches the Rfam family "Bacterial small subunit ribosomal RNA", at positions 28 to 257 of the family's 1533-position model. The record is from RNAcentral.